This is a non-coding RNA of Triticum aestivum (bread wheat), 117 nucleotides long. Lineage: Eukaryota; Viridiplantae; Streptophyta; Magnoliopsida; Poales; Poaceae. The record is from Rfam.
AAAGUACUCCCUCCGUCCCAAAAUUCUUGUCUUAGAUUUGUCUAGAUACAGAUGUAUCAAGUCACUCUGUAUCUAGACAAAUCUAAGACAAGAAAUUUGGGACAGAGGGAGUAGCUA